This 1240-nucleotide ribosomal RNA is filed under the name Streptomyces sp. RNAcentral's name for it is "bacterial SSU rRNA". It matches the Rfam family "Bacterial small subunit ribosomal RNA", at positions 97 to 1339 of the family's 1533-position model. Lineage: Bacteria; Bacillati; Actinomycetota; Actinomycetes; Kitasatosporales; Streptomycetaceae. The record is from RNAcentral.
GGCGAACGGGUGAGUAACACGUGGGCAAUCUGCCCUUCACUCUGGGACAAGUCUCGGAAACGGGGUCUAAUACCGGAUAACACUCCUCCUCUCCUGAGGAGGAGUUAAAAGCUCCGGCGGUGAAGGAUGAGCCCGCGGCCUAUCAGCUAGUUGGUGAGGUAAUGGCUCACCAAGGCGACGACGGGUAGCCGGCCUGAGAGGGCGACCGGCCACACUGGGACUGAGACACGGCCCACACUCCUACGGGAGGCAGCAGUGGGGAAUAUUGCACAAUGGGCGAAAGCCUGAUGCAGCGACGCCGCGUGAGGGAUGACGGCCUUCGGGUUGUAAACCUCUUUCAGCAGGGAAGAAGCGAAAGUGACGGUACCUGCAGAACAAGCGCCGGCUAACUACGUGCCAGCAGCCGCGGUAAUACGUAGGGCGCAAGCGUUGUCCGGAAUUAUUGGGCGUAAAGAGCUCGUAGGCGGCUUGUCCCGUCGGGUGUGAAAGCCCGGGGCUUAACCCCGGGUCUGCAUUCGAUACGGGCUAGCUAGAGUGUGGUAGGGGAGAUCGGAAUUCCUGGUGUAGCGGUGAAAUGCGCAGAUAUCAGGAGGAACACCGGUGGCGAAGGCGGAUCUCUGGGCCAUUACUGACGCUGAGGAGCGAAAGCGUGGGGAGCGAACAGGAUUAGAUACCCUGGUAGUCCACGCCGUAAACGGUGGGAACUAGGUGUUGGCGACAUUCCACGUCGUCGGUGCCGCAGCUAACGCAUUAAGUUCCCCGCCUGGGGAGUACGGCCGCAAGGCUAAAACUCAAAGGAAUUGACGGGGGCCCGCACAAGCAGCGGAGCAUGUGGCUUAAUUCGACGCAACGCGAAGAACCUUACCAAGGCUUGACAUACACCGGAAAGCAUCAGAGAUGGUGCCCCCCUUGUGGUCGGUGUACAGGUGGUGCAUGGCUGUCGUCAGCUCGUGUCGUGAGAUGUUGGGUUAAGUCCCGCAACGAGCGCAACCCUUGUUCUGUGUUGCCAGCAUGCCCUUCGGGGUGAUGGGGACUCACAGAAGACCGCCGGGGUCAACUCGGAGGAAGGUGGGGACGACGUCAAGUCAUCAUGCCCCUUAUGUCUUGGGCUGCACACGUGCUACAAUGGCAGGUACAAUGAGCUGCGAUACCGCAAGGUGGAGCGAAUCUCAAAAAGCCUGUCUCAGUUCGGAAUUGGGGUCUGCAACUCGACCCCACGAAUGUCACGCAGCUUGCUAGU